This is an RNA transcript of Chenopodium quinoa (quinoa), 3326 nucleotides long. RefSeq lists it as uncharacterized. The record is from RefSeq and is a predicted model, not a curated record. NCBI's taxonomy places the organism in Eukaryota, Viridiplantae, Streptophyta, Magnoliopsida, Caryophyllales, Amaranthaceae. The transcript has 8 exons.
CUGUUUUUUUUUUUAAAAAACUUUUCCGACGGAAACCUCUCCAUCUCUGACGGAAAUUUCCGUCGGAACGUUGCGACGGAUUUUCAAUUAAAGUCAAAAAAGGGCCGACAGAAAUAAAUCCGUCGGGAUUCCGUUGGAAACAAGCCUUCCGACGGAAAUUCCAUCGGAAAAGGUCGAAUUUCUGACAAGGGCCACUCCGACAGACCUAUUCCGACGGAAUUCCGUCGGAAGGCUUGUUUCCGACGGAAUUUCCGAUGAUUCCGACAGCUUUGUUCCGUCGGAAUCAAGCUGUUUUCUUGUAGUGUUUCGUAGGGUAGGGUAUGGUAGUAAGGUUGAGUCGGUGAAUAUAUAUAUAUAUAUAUAUAUUACUAUUAAAAUAUUACUUUUUAGAGUUCACAAAUUAGAAAGGCUCUACAGUAACUUUGUACUUCCUAUUGCUUGUGUGGUUUGAUUUAUAGUGAAAUCAUUUGCAUGAGUCUUUCUACAUACAACACACAAAGCAAUACAAAAGUUUCAAGGUCAGAACUUUUCACACAUAUACAUUGCUGCGAAGAAAGCAAGGGAAGCAUUCAAGUGAUUACUCUGGUGAUUCAAGUUUCCUUGCAUAAGGUAUCUUUACGUUUGGGAGUUAUUGGGAUUACGGCUGAUGCUGAAGUGCUUUUUCUGGCUUAUAUAUACUAAACCUCACUAUCCAUCCUUAUCAUCCAAGACAAAAAAAAACCUCUCAAACCAUCAACUACUGCUACAUAUUGAAGGCUCACAAUCAUGGAACAAGGGUAUGUAUAUCUGAAUGAGUUGAACAGCAACAGCAAGAAUUACAAUGUGAAAGUUAGAGUUGUAGAAAAAUCAAGGCCAAAAACUUCUUCCAAGAAAGUAGUACCGUUUUAGAAUUUUCUACUCACUGAUGAAAAGGGAAACAAUAUGAAGGCUGCAUUGUUUGGGGAACAAGUUGACAGUUUCAAUGAAGCGAUAGUCUAUAAUGGACAAUAUAUCAUUUCAAAUGCUCUAAUCAAGCUCAUAGAAGAACGGUGGAGAAACAAUUCAGAUGAGCUUCCUUUCCAAGUGACUUUUGGAGGACAGACUGUGGUCCAGAGAGUGAAUUCUGAAGGAACAAUAGAUGGACCAAUGUUUCAGUCUAUACAAUCUUUUUCUCGCAUUUUAAUGCCAGGAACUAAAUAUGGUAACCAGUAUCUUACCUUCUUCUUUAUAUUCCACAUUAAAAAUUUAUUUAGUGAUCCAUCAUUAGCACUAAAAAUAAUAUAUGUAUAUUGUAGAUGUUCUAGGCAUUAUUCUUUUUGUAGAAGAUAAAGUUCGUAUUAUCAAUGCUAAUCAAGGCCGAGAAUUCCAUGUUAGAGAAAUUGUUAUAACUGAUCAAACGUAAGUGUAUACAUAACCUUAACUUUAUAGAUCUCUAUUCAUAGGAGCUCAUUUGAAGCUAGAUUUCAAAUUGUGUUUGUAUUUCCAGCAUGGACCAACCUCUUAUUAUAAUACUUGGAAUGAUUUAGCUGAUAAUGCCUGUGACGCUAUUAGUUUAUAUGCUAAAACCUUUGAUGUGAUUAGCUUCACUACUUUAAGACCAUCUGUGCAUAAAGGUAUGCAUAACUAAAAGUAUUAAUAUCAAUUUCAAAAUUCCUCAACAACAUUAAAUAUUUAUCUACAAAAACUAACUUCUAUAUAUGCUUUACAAGGAUUCUCUUUAUCUACUGGUAUGUCUACUGAAAUCAUAUAUGAUCCUAAAGGAGAUAAAGCCGAAAUUCUCCGUGAAUGGCAUGUAUACAAAAACAUUAUAUGAUUUGAUAUCUCUUACAAACAAAAUAUGAUAAAUAUUAACGAGAUUUCUACAUAGGGCAAGGUUUCAUACUCAACAGCUCUUACACCGACAAGCAAAGGUACUGCAGGUGCAUUUUGCACCUACAGAUGAAACACCUAUAGACAUUUAUAGUGUCGGAACAAAAAAAACCAUGUAAUGUACUUCAAGAAGAGCGCCAUUGUUACGAGUAACAAUAUCGCAACCUGAUUUAAAAGAUGUUGUUACUUAUAUUGGGUGUUUAGCUUGUGGGAAACGCAUAGAUAUUCCUGUCGGCACAUAAUUCAAUUGUGCCAACUACAAGAAAAAGGAUAGCAUUUCUACAUAUCGAGUUACAUUCAAAUUUGAUGCCACAGAUCACUCAUGAACAAUGACUUUCACAACUUUUACGGCUGAUACAAAAAAAUUAUUUGGAUUAUCUGCCCAAGAAAUUCAUUUGAUCAAAAACUCUGAAAAUGUUCAAAUGUUCGAUUCAAUUCAGCAGCAGAUUUAUAACAGCCAUGUUCUGGUACAAGUAGGUCCAAUAACAACCCUCUCAAGAAACAAUAUUCUUCAAUGGUGUUUGAAAGGCAUAAAAGUAGAAGCGAGCAACACAAAACUAGUGAUAGCAGUUCCAUGGCAACAUCUUCAGAGCUUAGAAAUACAGAAUCACAUUCACAAGAUCAUGGUGCUGAUAAAAUAUAUGCAAGUAACUUUUCUUUUGGUCAGAAAGUGUUAAGAUCAGAACCUGAAGUACACACUACAGGUUCUGGAAUGGUUAAGGCAACAGAUUAUCAAACAGCUGAUGAAAUAGCCACAGUUAAAUCAUUGCUGGAGUUACCACAACAACCACCUAAGAGAAGUUGUACUGAAGCACAUUUAACCAAAAUCAAAGAUGGUGCAAAAGAUUGGAAUCCUAUAAUCUCUGGUAACUUUGCUCAGACAGAUUUUACAGUGCGUGGUCACUUAGCUUUAGAUGUGAGCAAGCAGGUUGGUUUGAGCUUUGAUAAACCAACUCCUGUUAUAAAUCAACAAGUUGCUGCAAGUUCUAGUCCUGUUGAAACAUUCAUUGUUUCUAUGAAAUAAGAACGAACAAUAAAAAAAUUUGCUGAAGUUAUUUCCACAAUAGCAACACCAAAAAAACGCUCUUUGACUGCUCUGUUUGCAACGACAGAAGCUAUAGAUCCAGCACAGACAAGUGACUCAUAGAUCAAAAACCAACCUAACAUUGAAGAAGCUAUUGAUUCCUCCACACUUAAAGAACAUAUUGCUCACAUAACCUCUCCUACAGCAUCAACUAAUUAAGUAACACCACGGGUUCUUUAAGCUUAGAAAGACAUAUGAAAGUAGAAUUAGUACUUUAAGAAAGAACUCCUUGACCCUUUUUCAUGCGAACAAUAUUAGUCUCAAACCCAUUUUGUCAUGCAUGAUUUUUAAAAUGAAAAAACUAUAAGAGUGCUGCCUAUUCAUACAUGUUACUAUCUUAGCUAAGUAAGGGUUGAUGGACCUUUAAGCUACACUAGACACAUUGAUAUUUUUG